CGAAUAAUUUUACAUAAUAUUCA
RNAcentral lists this non-coding RNA (23 nucleotides) under Arabidopsis thaliana (thale cress). Lineage: Eukaryota; Viridiplantae; Streptophyta; Magnoliopsida; Brassicales; Brassicaceae. The record is from RNAcentral.